GACAGAGGGUGCAAACGUUGUUCGGAAUUACUGGGCGUAAAGCGCGUGUAGGCGGCAAGGCAAGUCGGGUGUGAAAUCUCAGAGCUCAACUCUGAAACUGCACUCGAUACUGCUUUGCUUGAGGACUGGAGAGGAGAUUGGAAUUCACGGUGUAGCAGUGAAAUGCGUAGAUAUCGUGAGGAAGACCAGUGGCGAAGGCGGAUCUCUGGACAGUUCCUGACGCUGAGGCGCGAAGGCCAGGGGAGCAAACGGG
This 253-nucleotide ribosomal RNA is filed under the name uncultured bacterium. RNAcentral's name for it is "partial 16S ribosomal RNA". It matches the Rfam family "Bacterial small subunit ribosomal RNA", at positions 524 to 776 of the family's 1533-position model. The record is from RNAcentral.